This 301-nucleotide ribosomal RNA is filed under the name uncultured bacterium. RNAcentral describes it as "partial 16S ribosomal RNA". It matches the Rfam family "Bacterial small subunit ribosomal RNA", at positions 509 to 807 of the family's 1533-position model. The record is from RNAcentral.
CAGUCGCCGCGGUAAAACGUAGGUGGCAAGCGUUGUCCGGAAUUAUUGGGCGUAAAGGGCUCGCAGGCGGUUUCUUAAGUCUGAUGUGAAAGCCCCCGGCUCAACCGGGGAGGGUCAUUGGAAACUGGGAAACUUGAGUGCAGAAGAGGAGAGUGGAAUUCCACGUGUAGCGGUGAAAUGCGUAGAGAUGUGGAGGAACACCAGUGGCGAAGGCGACUCUCUGGUCUGUAACUGACGCUGAGGAGCGAAAGCGUGGGGAGCAAAUGGGAUUAGAUACCCCGGUAGUCCCUGUCUCUUAUAC